This 78-nucleotide transfer RNA is filed under the name candidate division Zixibacteria bacterium SM23_81. RNAcentral's name for it is "tRNA-Val". It matches the Rfam family "tRNA". Rfam says of the family: Transfer RNA (tRNA) molecules are approximately 80 nucleotides in length. Their secondary structure includes four short double-helical elements and three loops (D, anti-codon, and T loops). Lineage: Bacteria; Pseudomonadati; Candidatus Zixiibacteriota. The record is from RNAcentral.
GGGCGAUUAGCUCAGUUGGUCCAGAGCGCUUGCCUUACAAGCAAGAGGUCACUAGUUCGAAUCUAGUAUCGCCCAUCA